Molecule: ribosomal RNA, 459 nt
Filed under: uncultured bacterium
Lineage: Bacteria
Description: partial 16S ribosomal RNA
Rfam family: Bacterial small subunit ribosomal RNA
Source: RNAcentral
CCUACGGGAGGCAGCAGUGAGGAAUAUUGGUCAAUGGGCGCGAGCCUGAACCAGCCAAGUCGCGUGAGGGAAGACGGUCCUAUGGAUUGUAAACCUCUUUUGUCGGGGAGCAAAAGACGCCACGCGUGGCCUUCCGAGCGUACCCGAAGAAAAAGCAUCGGCUAACUCCGUGCCAGCAGCCGCGGUAAUACGGAGGAUGCGAGAGUUAUCCGGAUUUAUUGGGUUUAAAGGGUGCGCAGGCGGAAGAUCAAGUCAGCGGUAAAAGUGAGAGGCUCAACCUCUUCGAGCCGUUGAAACUGGUUGUCUUGAGUGAGCGAGAAGUAUGCGGAAUGCGUGGUGUAGCGGUGAAAUGCAUAGAUAUCACGCAGAACUCCGAUUGCGAAGGCAGCAUACCGGAGCGCAACUGACGCUCAUGCACGAAAGUGUGGGUAUCGAACAGGAUUAGAUACCCGAGUAGUC